GACGAACGCUGGCGGCGUGCCUAAUACAUGCAAGUCGAACGAGAGCGACCGGUGCUUGCACUGGUCAAUCUAGUGGCGAACGGGUGAGUAACACGUGGGUAACCUGCCCAUCAGAGGGGGAUAACAUCCGGAAACGGAUGCUAAAACCGCAUAGGUCUUCGAACCGCAUGGUUUGAAGAGGAAAAGAGGCGCAAGCUUCUGCUGAUGGAUGGACCCGCGGUGCGUUAGCUAGUUGGUGAGGUAACGGCUCACCAAGGCCGUGAUGCAUAGCCGACCUGAGAGGGUGAUCGGCCACAUUGGGACUGAGACACGGCCCAAACUCCUACGGGAGGCAGCAGUAGGGAAUCUUCCGCAAUGGACGCAAGUCUGACGGAGCAACGCCGCGUGAGUGAAGAAGGUUUUCGGAUCGUAAAACUCUGUUGUUAGAGAAGAACAAGUGCUAGAGUAACUGUUAGCGCCUUGACGGUAUCUAAACAGAAAGCCACGGCUAACUACGUG
Molecule: ribosomal RNA, 498 nt
Filed under: uncultured bacterium
Lineage: Bacteria
Description: partial 16S ribosomal RNA
Rfam family: Bacterial small subunit ribosomal RNA
Source: RNAcentral